ACCAAAAAGCCGCCGUGGAAACUUUACGCCUUCUAUAUAUGGAGACGUUCGUGUGGUCUUAAACCCCAACGUCAAACCGUUGGUCGUAAAACCCGGCAUAACCUAAUCCUAAGGUCGAAGUGUUGCUCUUCGCACCCCACACCUCGACGCGUACAGUGGUCAGAGCUUCACUACUCCCUCGACCUCCACAGCAUACCGCACACUAGCUUUCAAGCUCUGUGCGAUCCUAGCCGCUCUGCUGCCACUCACGGCAAUGGAACAGUACAGCAAAUUCCUAGCGGCAUCCAAGGAGCUGACGUUGACCCAGAUGGCUACGCUGAAGCAGCGGGAAAUCUUAAGGCUCAAGGCAAGACAUAA
RNAcentral lists this long non-coding RNA (357 nucleotides) under Oryza sativa Indica Group (long-grained rice). RNAcentral's name for it is "lncRNA OsLaMu_01g0017020". Lineage: Eukaryota; Viridiplantae; Streptophyta; Magnoliopsida; Poales; Poaceae. The record is from RNAcentral.